Molecule: ribosomal RNA, 97 nt
Filed under: Timarcha aurichalcea
Lineage: Eukaryota; Metazoa; Arthropoda; Insecta; Coleoptera; Chrysomelidae
Description: partial 5.8S ribosomal RNA
Rfam family: 5.8S ribosomal RNA
About the family: 5.8S ribosomal RNA (5.8S rRNA) is a component of the large subunit of the eukaryotic ribosome. It is transcribed by RNA polymerase I as part of the 45S precursor that also contains 18S and 28S rRNA.
Source: RNAcentral
AACUUGUGAAUUGCAGGACACAUGAACAUCGACAUUUCGAACGCACAUUGCGGUCCUCGGAUACUGUUCCCGGACCACUCCUGGCUGAGGGUCGUAU